RNAcentral lists this long non-coding RNA (653 nucleotides) under Pan troglodytes (chimpanzee). RNAcentral's name for it is "long non-coding RNA NONPTRT008288". The record is from RNAcentral. Lineage: Eukaryota; Metazoa; Chordata; Mammalia; Primates; Hominidae.
UGCUUUGAUGACCACGACGCCCACGUGGCCCUCGGGACCAUGACAGACACCAGGAGACCCCCGGGACCACGAGUCCCCUCAUGACCACGACAGACACGAGGAGCCCCCCCGCCCCAGACCACGAGUCCCCUCCCGACCACGACAGACACCAGGACCCCUCCCCUGGGACCACGAGUCCCCUCCCGACCACGACAGACUCCAGGACCACCUCCCCCGGGACCACGAGUCCCCUCCCGACCACGACAGACACCAGGACCCCUCCCCUGGGACCACGAGUCCCCUCCCGACCACGACAGACACCAGGAGCCCCCCCCGCCCCAGACCACGAGUUCCCUCAGGACCACGAGAGACACCAGGAGCCCCCCCGGGACCACGAGUCCCCUCCUGGCCACGACAGACACUCAGGAGCCCCCCUGGGACCACGAUGGACACUCAGGAUCCCCCAGAGCCGUGACUGACACCAGGAGCCCCCCCAGCAUGUGAGGGAGGAGCAAGGAGCAGGCGGAGGGAACGGGAAGCAGGACGGCCCCCACGAGCUGGGGGAGUGCAGAGAUCGAUGAGGACCCCGUGGGAGGGCUUAUCGGGCCAGGUCAGCGCCGUCCCUGCAGCUCAGCCCAAGAGCAGCAUGUGUGUGUGUGUAUGGCGGGGGGGGG